UUUUAAUGUAUCUUUUUUGUUUUUGCAGAAUGUGGUGGUGACACUGGAAUUAGGCCAUCGUGCCACAGUUCGCCAACAGCGGACGAAUGAAGGCUUUACUCAUGACUGGGAGGUGUUUGUUCAGGGGUCAAAUGGAGCCCAUAUUGAAGCAUUUAUUGAUAAGAUUGUCUUUACUCUCCACAAAAGCUUCAAACUCCCAAAGAGAAUAUUAAAGGCACCUCCGUACAGAAUAAGUGAAAUGGGCUAUGGCAGCUUUAAUUUGCCAAUUGAAAUUUAUUUCAAGACAAAUCAUAGUGAAGAUACCAGAAAGGCUUUUUUCGAAUAUGAUUUGUUUCUUCAGCAUGUUGACAGCCA
Macrobrachium nipponense is the source of this 354-nucleotide long non-coding RNA. RefSeq lists it as uncharacterized. The transcript has 3 exons. The record is from RefSeq and is a predicted model, not a curated record. NCBI's taxonomy places the organism in Eukaryota, Metazoa, Arthropoda, Malacostraca, Decapoda, Palaemonidae.